UACGAAGGGGGCUAGCGUUGCUCGGAAUCACUGGGCGUAAAGCGCACGUAGGCGGAUUGUUAAGUCGGGGGUGAAAUCCUGGAGCUCAACUCCAGAACUGCCUUUGAUACUGGCGAUCUUGAGUCCGGGAGAGGUGAGUGGAACUGCGAGUGUAGAGGUGAAAUUCGUAGAUAUUCGCAAGAACACCAGUGGCGAAGGCGGCUCACUGGCCCGAUACUGACGCUGAGGUGCGAAAGCGUGGGGAGCAAACAGG
RNAcentral lists this ribosomal RNA (253 nucleotides) under uncultured bacterium. RNAcentral's name for it is "partial 16S ribosomal RNA". It matches the Rfam family "Bacterial small subunit ribosomal RNA", at positions 524 to 776 of the family's 1533-position model. The record is from RNAcentral.